This 418-nucleotide ribosomal RNA is filed under the name uncultured bacterium. RNAcentral's name for it is "bacterial SSU rRNA". It matches the Rfam family "Bacterial small subunit ribosomal RNA", at positions 56 to 464 of the family's 1533-position model. The record is from RNAcentral.
UGCAAGUCGCAGGGUAACAUGAGGAAAGCUUGCUUUCCUUGAUGACGACUGGCGCACGGGUGAGUAACGCGUAUCCAACCUUCCCAUAACUACGGGAUAACCCGUUGAAAGACGGCCUAAUACCGUAUGACAUCGUUUGCUGACAUCAAAUAACGAUUAAAGGUUUAGCGGUUAUGGAUGGGGAUGCGUCUGAUUAGCUUGUUGGCGGGGUAACGGCCCACCAAGGCGACGAUCAGUAGGGGUUCUGAGAGGAAGGUCCCCCACAUUGGAACUGAGACACGGUCCAAACUCCUACGGGAGGCAGCAGUGAGGAAUAUUGGUCAAUGGGCGAGAGCCUGAACCAGCCAAGUAGCGUGCAGGAUGACGGCCCUAUGGGUUGUAAACUGCUUUUAUGUGGGGAUAAAGUGCGUGACGUGUC